CAGAGGGGGCAAGCGUUAUUCGGAAUUAUUGGGCGUAAAGGGCGCGUAGGCGGCUUGGCAAGUGGAAGGUGAAAUCCCUCGGCUUAACCGAGGAACUGCCCUCCAAACUGCUUUGCUUGAGGCCGGGAGAGGUGAGUGGAAUUCCCAGUGUAGCGGUGAAAUGCGUAGAUAUUGGGAGGAACACCAGUGGCGAAGGCGGCUCACUGGACCGGUUCUGACGCUGAUGCGCGAAAGCGUGGGGAGCAAACGGGAUUAGAUACCCCGGUAGUCCACGCCGUGAACGAUGAGUGCUUGGUGUAGCGGGUAUCGACCCCUGCUGUGCCGAAGUCAACACAUUAAGCACUCCGCCUGGGGAGUACGGUCGCAAGGCUG
This 372-nucleotide ribosomal RNA is filed under the name uncultured organism. RNAcentral describes it as "bacterial SSU rRNA". It matches the Rfam family "Bacterial small subunit ribosomal RNA", at positions 526 to 896 of the family's 1533-position model. The record is from RNAcentral.